This 870-nucleotide long non-coding RNA is filed under the name Marmota monax (woodchuck). The record is from RNAcentral. Lineage: Eukaryota; Metazoa; Chordata; Mammalia; Rodentia; Sciuridae.
CUUCUUUCUAGCUUCCACAUAUGAGAGAACAUUUUUGACCCUUGUCUUUCUGCAUCAAUACAUGCACAGAUAAACUCAACCCAACUUUUCUCAAAAGAAGAAAUACAAAUGGUCAACAAAUAUGUGAAAAUAUGCUCAAUGUCCUUAGCAACCAGGGAAAUGCAAGUCAAAACUGCCCUGAGGUCUCAUCUCACCCAGGUUAGAAUGGCAAGCACCAAGAAUAUAAAUAGUAAUAAUGCUGGCAAAGAUGUGGGGAGAGAGAACACGUGUACAUUGUUGGUAGGAUUUAAAAAAUGCUUUUCUUUGUAACUCGUCAGCAUGCUGGAACCUCUUGAUCUAUUCUGCAUGUUUCUCAGUUUUUCGAGGCCUGGGGUGGAUUUCUUUUGGCUUUUGAGAGCCGCUGUACUCAGGAGCAUCUUUUUGGUAGCAUUUAAUUACUAGAUGGAGGCUGCAGACUGACUUGAUUCUGGUGUAUUUUUGUUUUUAUUGAUUUCUGUGUCCUGUCUUCCAAUAUAUGUCAUUUCCUUUCUACUGUCAAGCAUAGACUUUAUCCCCUUUAUUGGGUUUUUAUUUGUUACAUAUGCACCUUGAAGAUCUUAAAUGAUCUCUAUUUCCUUGCAUUUUAAAAGUACCCGCACCUGUUCUCAUUUUAUAGUUUCUUGUUCUUUUUGAUCUUCAGUAUUAAUGUGUUGGCAUCACCAGGGGUAAAUCCCUACACCGGCUGUUCAUUUCCCUCUGCACCUCUUUGCGAGCCCUUUCUUGCUCUGAGGGGUGUGGGCUUGCUAGCUCACUGAGGGUGCUGCUGCUGCUUCUGAGCUCUCCACUUUUCACCGUCACUUUGCUGUGCCCCUCUGUCUAGCAGUUUUUCAC